Long non-coding RNA from Macaca fascicularis (crab-eating macaque), 2501 nucleotides. Lineage: Eukaryota; Metazoa; Chordata; Mammalia; Primates; Cercopithecidae. The record is from Ensembl.
CAAAUCACUCCUUGCUUGAAAACCUUUAGGAUUUUUUAACAUAUAAGAGAAAAUUAAAAUACUUUGGCCUUACAUUUAGUGCAUUUCACAAGCUGAUCACAAGGUCCCUUCCCAGCCUUCCCUUUUCUCUCUCUUUUUAAACUUCUCAAUUCAUCCAAAGAAGUCUCCUUACUGUCUGCCUCUCUUAUAAAAUCCCAACCUAACUUUGUUCUUUUCCACGUAAGUUCCUCUGCUUAUGUAUCUUUUCCUGGUCAACAAAAUCUUCCUUUUCCUUUAGGCUCCAGUUCAAAUUCCAUUUCUUACAUGUAACCCUUGAUAGUUCAUCUUUUUUUUUUUGAGAUGGAGUUUCGCUCUUGUUGCCCAGGCUGGUGUGCAAUGGCACGAUCUCAGCUCACCGCAAGCUCUGCCUCCUGGAUUCAAGUGAUUCCCCUGCCUCAGCCUCCCGAGUAGCUGGGAUUACAGGCACAUGCCACCACACCUGGCUAAUUUUGUACUUUUAGUAGAGAUGGGGUUUCUCCAUGUUGGUCAGGCUGGUCUCAAACUCCUGACCUCAGGUGAUCCACCCGCCUUGGCCUCCCAAAAUGCCGGGAUUCAGGCAUGAGCACCGCACCUGACUGACAGCUCAUUCUCUUUUACCCACAUCGCAUCUGUCCGGAAAUCCCACUGGCUAUACCUUCAAAAUACAUCCAGAAUCCAAUCACGUACCACCUCCACUACCAUCUCUCUGGUCCAAGCCAUCAUCAUCUCCCACCAGCUGUCUCUGCUUUUGCUCUUUUAUACUCUAGAAUCUAUUCUCAACCCAAAUUCCAGAAGUGACCCUUUUAAAACAGAUAUCAAAACUCUCCAAUGAACCUUCACUUCCUGUCAUGUAAAAACCAAAAUUCUUUUAUGUGCUAGACUGUGAACACCCAUAAUGUCCUACACGACUGCUCUGCUCCUCAACCUCUCUGAUCCCUUUUGAUUCUUGCCCUUGCUACCUUGCCACACCCAGAACUCAAAAUGCAUGCUCAUGUCUUAGGCCCUUUGCAGUGGCUGCUGUCUGCCUGGAAUGCCCUUCCUCCAGAUAUCCUCAGGCUUAAGACUUUUUCAAGACUCUGCUCAAAGACAAUCAUGACCUUCCAGACAAUCUUCCCACACCCCAACACUCCCUAUCUUCCUAUAUGUUUACCCCAUAACAUACUACAGAGUCUGCUUAGGUUUAUUGUCUGUCUUUCCCAAGAGAACAGGGCUUUGAUCUUUUGCUCACUGCAGCAUCCUGGGAGCCUAGAAUGGCACCUGGCACACAUUAUGUGCUCAACGUUUGCUGAAUGGAUAAAUGAAUAGAUGCUGUCACAACACCUCAGUCAAAGGUUCUCUCUCCUUUUCUCUUGCUUAUACUAAUCAUUUGGCACUUACCAUACACUGUUGUGUAGUUUUCUGUGUGUACAUAUGAUCCACCUGCCUAGAUUAUGUGUUCCUAUGCCCUCCAAAUGCUCUGCACAAAUUUAGCAUUUAAUAAAUAUUUGCUGAUGAAAUAUCACUGCACUGCCUUUUUAUUUCAGAGUAGAUAGUGAUGGUAAUAAUUUUCAAAACAAGACAUUCCUCUUAGAAAAGAAACAUUCUAGAAAGCAAUAUGAUGUAAGAAAAAAAUAUUUAAUUUGAAAAGUUAAUCUUAAAAAGAAUGGAACAUAUCUUAAAGGUGCAUAUACAUUAUACAAAAUCCACAUCAUGCUCUGAAAAUAUUUAUUCUGUGACUUUCACAGCCUCUUAUGUCCUAAAGAUAUGCUUGAGAGUCAAGCUCAAGGUAAUUUUUGAUAGUAAGGUAAUUUGAGACAUAGAACAUAUAUGAAAUAAUAAUUAUAUGUUGGGAAUUGAGGUAAUAUAUGACAGAAAUAAAACAAUGUGAAAUAGGUCACAUUAUAUAUAUAUAUAUCUAUGUAUUUUAUUUUUAUUUUUUGAGACAGAGUCUUGCCCUCUGUUGCCCAGGCAGUGGCAUGAUGUUGGCUCACUGCAACCUCCACCUCCCAGGUUCAAGCAAUUCUUGUGCCUCAGCCUCCUGAGUAGCUGGGAUUGCGGGCGUGCACCAUCAUGCCUGGCUAAUUUUUAUAUUUUUAGUAGAGAUGGGAUCUCGCUAUGUUGGCCAGGCUGCUCUUGAAUUCCUGACCUCAGGUGAUCCACCAGCCUCGGCCUCCCAAAGUGCUGGGAUUACAGGUGUGAGCCACCGCUCCUAGUCUUUUGUCACGUUUUAAAAUCUAAUAGCAAAAAGUUUUGGAAAACAAGUUAGACAACUUUCUAACAACAGAUGUAGAUCUUUUCAGUUACCUUGACUGUAGUUCAUGCAUAAUUCUCUUUGUGAGUGUUGGUGGGGAGAUCAGUAAAUAGACUCUUGCAUGACUUACGGUUUCUUUUUUUUUUGUUUGUUUUUGAGACGGAGUUUUGCUCUUGUUGCCCGGGAUGGAUUGCAAUGGCGUGAUCUUGGCUCAUUGCAACCUCCGCCUCCCAGGUUCAAGCAAUGCUCCUGC